This 254-nucleotide ribosomal RNA is filed under the name uncultured bacterium. RNAcentral's name for it is "partial 16S ribosomal RNA". It matches the Rfam family "Bacterial small subunit ribosomal RNA", at positions 524 to 776 of the family's 1533-position model. The record is from RNAcentral.
UACGAAGGGGGCUAGCGUUGCUCGGAAUCACUGGGCGUAAAGCGCACGUAGGCGGCUUUCUAAGUCAGGGGUGAAAUCCUGGAGCUCAACUCCAGAACUGCCUUUGAUACUGGGAAUCUUCGAGUCCGGGAGAGGUGAGUGGAACUGCGAGUGUAGAGGUGAAAUUCGUAGAUAUUCGCAAGAACACCAGUGGCGAAGGCGGCUCACUGGCCCGGUACUGACGCUGAGGUGCGAAAGCGUGGGGAGCAAACAGG